Molecule: ribosomal RNA, 200 nt
Filed under: uncultured bacterium
Lineage: Bacteria
Description: partial 16S ribosomal RNA
Rfam family: Bacterial small subunit ribosomal RNA
Source: RNAcentral
GAUGAACGCUAGCGGCGGGCUUAAUACAUGCAAGUCGAGGGGCAGCGCAGUGUAGCAAUACAUCGCUGGCGACCGGCAAACGGGUGCGGAACACGUACGCAAUCUACCCAAAACUGAGGAAUAGCCCUCCGAAAGGAGGAUUAAUACCUCGUAACAUCUUAGAGUGGCAUCACUCCUGGAUUAUAGCUCCGGCGGUUUUG